This is a long non-coding RNA of Harpegnathos saltator (Jerdon's jumping ant), 105 nucleotides long. RefSeq lists it as uncharacterized. NCBI's taxonomy places the organism in Eukaryota, Metazoa, Arthropoda, Insecta, Hymenoptera, Formicidae. The transcript is spliced from 2 exons. The record is from RefSeq and is a predicted model, not a curated record.
AUUAUGGGAAAAAGUAACAGCAGAAUUAUAUGAGAUACCUGGUGCACAAAAAGAGUGGAAACAAUGGCGAAAGACUUGGCAAGACAUGCGAAGUUCCAUUAAAGC